UUCCCCUAAAGGGGACGAACACUAAAGGGGACAACCCUUUAGGGGAUGAAGAAGUCCCCUAAAGGGGAAGAAGGGGUUCAUCCCCGAAGUUCGCCUUUAGGUCAUCCCCAAAGUCUCUUCUUCGUUUUCUUCCCCUUCGGGGAUGACCUAAAGGGGAACUUUAGUUCUUCCCCUUCGUCUCUUCUUCUUCCCCUAAAGGGGACUCCGUCCCCUAAAGGGGACUCCGUCCCCUAAAGGGGACUCCGUCCCCUAAAGGGGACUCCGUCCCCUAAAGGGGACUCCGUCCCC
RNAcentral lists this long non-coding RNA (288 nucleotides) under Volvox carteri. RNAcentral describes it as "long non-coding RNA (VCAR_LNC004191)". Lineage: Eukaryota; Viridiplantae; Chlorophyta; Chlorophyceae; Chlamydomonadales; Volvocaceae. The record is from RNAcentral.